GAUCUACAGCAUGGAGCAGAGCCAGGCUGUGGCACACAGCCUUUCCCAGCUGCUGGUGUUUCAGCUGAGGUAGGUUUCCUGGUUUGCCCUCAUUUCUCAUCUCCGCAGCCUCCUCCUGACUUUUAGAAAUUAUUGCUGUAUAAGAGCUGAGCAUCUUGUGUGGCAUUCAAGAGGAGACGAGUUAGUUUCAAGCAGCAGAGCUUUGCUGAGCUGACCUGGCUCUUCUAAAUCAGACUAUGCCAUGAAGGGAGCAAUCAACUCCAGCAAAGGGAAGGACAGCAAGCAGAUUAGAGCUGUGGAAGACUUGAAGAGGAAUCAGACAGGAUGAAUCUACAGACACAACAGCUAAUAGAGCCUUGGCUGCCAGACCUAGACUCUUCAAUCAACAGAGACAAGUGACACCCCAAUCAUCCAGCAGCAAGGAAGAAGCUUGUGUUCUGGACAAUUCACCCAUUAGAGUCUGUUUUCUGAGCCCAUUGAGAGGACACAUUUUCUGCUACCUUGAAUUCUGAAGCCAUGGGAAAUAACUGAAGGGGAUUAUUUGAGCCCUCCCACACAGGCUCUAGGAUGCAGAAUCCUCCUGUUUCCUUGCUGGCCAUAAGGACCAUAUCUUGUCAAGUGCCACAGUUUCAGUAGAGAGCUGCCAUUGUUACAGGAUUUUGGUUCCCAGACCAAGAAUUGGAAGAGAGAUUUGUCUGGGAGGGAAUAGGAAAUAGAGUUUGUCAUUUUUUCCCUCUCUUCUUUUUUGGUGAAAGACAACAGGGAAAAUGUGAAGAAAGGUAUACAGGAAAAUAGUAGAUCUGAAGAAAUCAGUCCCUGCUGGAAAAAACAUUCUUGCUUCCAAGAGAAGUCAAAGUAAAAUUGUGAAAGGCACUUACCUGACUUUCAAGGAAUACAAACUCCUAGAGGUCCUCUGGCUUUGGAAAAAUGUGUCUGAAUCUUCCACAGUUCAUAAAUGAAACUCUUUGAUUUGGAUGAGGAUGAUUUCCCCUCUGAAGAAAUAGCAAGCACCCACCCCACUGGCUUGUUCACCAUCCCUUGCUACAAGAUGGGAGAGCACUAAUAAGCAUAGAAUAUGCCUGAUCCAUCUUUCCUUCUGAUUGCCUGAUCCUGGCCUUUCCUUCUCCUCAUUCUUUUGAUGCUGAGUGCUUCCAGUUGUGUCAGCCUGUACUCGGCAGUAUUUUGUAUUUUCUUUCAGUUUCUCUCUCCCUCUCUGUAGGAUUUCACCAGCCUAUUAGUGUUAGAAUGUGUUUAUUAAAUCCAGAUAUCUAUUUAUCUAUUGCUCUAUCUUUAUGCAAUUCAUAUACAUGUAUGUCUGCUGAGACAUGGUCCUGGGUAUAAUGUUCCAUUAGAGUGAAAUGUUUACAUAAAGGAAACUGAGGAGUUUAGCUAUUAUAAACCUGGACACUGUCAGUUUACUUACAAGAAUGUCACACGCAGCCCAUGGCAAACCUUAAAUUGAGACCCUAUCACAUCUCUCCUUUCAUAUCUGUGCCUUUAUAUCUUCACUUGUGACCCAUCACAGACAUGUUGUGGAUUAGUUCAGACGCAAUAAGAAUCUUAGUAUCAAUGAGUAGCACCAUUAUUGGAAACACACUGUGUCUGUGCAGGGUGAAUAUCAAGACUGUUUCUUUUUUUCUGAGAGAAUAUCUAUUCCCAUAAACUCAGAAAAUUAUCACGCAGUCUGAUACAUCUGUCUCUCCUUCAGAAAUAACUUUACAUAUAAGAACUAAUUUUUUUUUCCUUAUUGAAAAGAAAGUACAUGGCAAGCCCCCAGUCCCCAUCCAUGGAAGGUACUGAAGCAAGGAUUUGAGAAGGAUUAGAGGAGUACCAAGGGUUGUUAGAUGAACCAGAGGUACUUACCACAUGGAAAGCAAUUUGGAAAUACCUGCCUUUUCCUACAAGCUGGAUUCUCUGCUCUGGGAAAACACAGUUCAUUUUUAGAUCCAGUAAAUAACAAGAUGUUGGGUGACCACCAAAGACAGGCACUGCUCUGUUUAAAACCCUGCCAGCUAGCCAUACUCACUUCCAGAGUAACUCCUGGCACGAUCACAAGCUGGUGUGAUUUUAAACAUAAGCACUUGGCUGUGGCCAGCAAUGCCUUCAGCUGAGGAGAGGGAAAUCCAGCCUUUUUCCCCUGGUCCCUGCUGCUGGAGUCUGCUGAUCACACUGUGGGUCUCGCUCCUGGCAGCGAUGCUCCCACAGCCCAGCUCCCUCCUGCCUCACCCCCUGAAAGGCAGCACAACUCUAAUGACCUCCCAUGCACUUACAUCUAACAAAUACAUUUUAAAAAACAGAAUCAGACCUCACACAUCUACGACCACUUUAAAAGGCUUCUCACCACACCUUCUGCUCUCUGUUCUCUACACUCAAGUGGAAGAAUGGUACAAAGCCCCCCUCUCCCUGCCCUUCUCACCCAGUUCCUCCUGACAGGAGGAAAAUCUAAGAAGAGCCAAAGGAAACUACAGAAACAACUCUGGGUCCUAUCUACACAGGGAACAAUUUCCACAUCUGAAUUUUGCUGCUGCUAGAGGGCUGGGUGUAGCUUUACUAUUGCUUCUUUCUCUCUGUGUCCUCUGCUUGCCAUGGAUCCAUGUGGAUACUGUUUGUAUCCACAGACAAACAUUGUCAAGCCAGUCAAUGGAAGAAUCUUUCCAUCACCAACUCCCAAAGACUGUCCUUCUUUCCACCUGAUGCUCACCCACUCAUGCAAAGGGGAAACAAGAAAAAAAAUAAUCACAUAAUCAGUUUUGGUUCACUUCUUCUUUCUUUGUUACACCCAGCCAUCAGCUUUAUGGAUUAUCUUUUAUUGAACAGUGUGGGCUGAGCCAUGUAAGGGCAAGUUUUCAGGGAUACAUCAGCAUUUUUGUGACCAUGUGUCACAAAAGGUACAUGAUCAGAGGCUGAAGACAAACACAUGCGUCGCUGACACCUUACUGGGACUGUGCACAAUUGCACUGGUUAAUGUGAAUAGUCAAAAUUGGGCAAGAGCAUAAAGGCUCUUCACACUAAAACAAACAAAAGCUCUGUGGUAAUGAGCCAUGACAUCCCACCUUAGCUGGUAUACCCUUGUGCCAUCUCUGUGGCAGAGAGCUGUGAUGAUGUGCUAUACCUCUGGACACAGAAAGCAAAGUCAAAAGGGGUACAGUGUCCUUAGAUAAGUCAGAAAUAUGGAGGGAAACCAUUUGGGAAGUUUUAAUCAUUGAUUCAGAAAAGCCACAAUCUGAUAAAAAUCACUGCUUGGAUAUAAAUCCAAUCAAUGAAUUCUUAAUUGAUAAGUUUGCUAGGGCAAACUCUGUGGAAUUCAGUGGGACCACAACCAUGUGGUUGUGCCUGAUGACACCUGAUGACACCUGAGUUUCUGUCCCUUACUUACUCUAAUUGCAACUUCUUCAAAUAAAUAAUUCAACUAGUUGUUUUGUGAAAGUAAACCAAAAAGACAGCUACAAUCCAUUUAACACCCAACUAGGGGAACACAACACUUCUUUCUCCAUGAGCUCCUCUGCUUUGUUACAAUCCUCUCCUUCCCAGCAGUCAUGUCCAGGGCUCUCUCAGUCCAGCACCACCUAAACCCAAAUGGGUUCUUGGGAAUGGUUUCCCUUCCCCAGUGAAGGUACUCACUGCUUCUUACAAACCUCAUCUCUUCCACUAAUUAUUGUCCUCACUUUUGCGUGCCCAUGGCUCUCUUUUAGUCAUCUCUUCCCUAAUACCUCUUUGAUGACUAGAAGAGAACAGAAGGAGAGGAGAUGAUUCAUACAAACUAAACUGGGGGUUGAACUUCGUUCAGUUCUGCAUUUUUUCUGAAACAGAGCAGGGGAAACUGCCAGCAGAGCCUCCUCAACCAGUCCAUUCGCUCGCUACCACCCCAACACUACCCCCAUUUUUCUGCAAGCCAUAAGAGUCACUGAAAAGAAGGUGGUGAUUUUUCUGUCAUUCUGAGCCCAAAGAAAGUCUCUGGUUUGGCUGCAUGCAAGGUGGCAAAUUUAAUUCUCUUCUCUUAACUGCUUCUUCACUAAAUCUAUGCUGCCUUCUAAUCUCCUGCAUCCCUGUAGAAAAGUCACGACUGAAGACUCAAGUUGUCAAAACAUCACUUGUCUCUUCCACCAACACUGGUGGAAGCAUGGCUGGGCUGAGCCAGAGCGAAGUGGAGCGAGCUUUGAGAAAGUCCCUGUUUCCAAUUUAGCACAGCUCCCAGGAGGUAUUACAUUUCCUGGUGCAGAGCAGAAAACGCUUUGAGAUCCUCAAGCACAAAGCCUUGUUGUUUUAUUCAUUUGUACUGCUGAGCAAAUUCUCUUUUUGAGGCUUCCAGUGGGGAAAUUUCCUCCAGUUUCUCCAUAGAAGAGUCCAGAUUAAAGCUACCUUUACCCUUUUAAGGUCUAGAAAGCAUGAUUUUUCAAAGACAGCCUUUAUUUCCUGUACUCCUGGAAGAUCUUUUUAAUUGCAAGAAAUACUCUCUUCCUAAUUACAAAAGCAUUUGAGCUCAUCCUCUAUUCAGUUGUGUUGGCAGAGCCUCUGGAAGAGUUCUUCAACCUGAAACUUCCAAGGAAUCUGUUAGGAAACCCAUCACAGCUUCCAGAUAACACGCUGCCAGCUUUAUUAAAAGAGCAAUGCUCGAGCAGGCUUGCACUCGCAUUGCAGUCAUUCUUGGCACUCCUGCUGCUUCCUCCAUCCAAGAAUUCUGCACCGCUCAUUCCACUGGCUGCCUCUUCCUACCAUCCCCACAACGAGUGCACCAAGCACCUCCCAGGAUCACCUGGAGCGCGGGAUUUUGAACUGCUUUUGACAAAGACUCUGAUGUGCUCCCCACUCCUCCCCAGGGAGCUGAGCUGGGCAGCAGCACUCGGAGAGGGUUUUACAGCAGCAGCGUGUGCAGGGUGGCUUCUCAUGGUCCCAGCCUCUCUGAGGUCCCACGUGUCUAACACAACUCCAUCCCCAAGCAUUGGGAUACAGUUAACCAACCAAAUCCCAAGGUUUUUCUUGAAUUUUCCCCAGAUUACUACCAGGGCAAGUUUGCUGCUGCUUCAAAACAAUGUUUCUCUGAUUACAACCUAGGCUGACAAUUAUAGUGAUUUAAACCCUAACUAAUUGUGAAGUACUUUGAUCAUGCUUAGCACAACUUGUGGUUUGUAGGCUGCAAAUAGUUGAAAGGAACUCUUGGGUUCACAAUUUCCUUGAAUAUAAAUUUUAUUUUGAUAUAUAAGGUAUGAUUAAAAUAUUAAAAUAAAGUUUGUGUUUGUUUUU
Molecule: long non-coding RNA, 5241 nt
Organism: Parus major (Great Tit)
Lineage: Eukaryota; Metazoa; Chordata; Aves; Passeriformes; Paridae
Exons: 3
Source: RefSeq, a predicted model, not a curated record